RNAcentral lists this non-coding RNA (23 nucleotides) under Mus musculus (house mouse). Lineage: Eukaryota; Metazoa; Chordata; Mammalia; Rodentia; Muridae. The record is from RNAcentral.
UUGAUCCUCGCAUCUCAUUGGUC